UGCGAAGGGGGCUAGCGUUGUUCGGAUUUACUGGGCGUAAAGCGCAUGUAGGCGGACCAUUAAGUUGGGGGUGAAAUCCCGAGGCUCAAACUCGGAAUUGCCUCCAAAACUGGCGGUCUGGAGCAGAAUAAAGGCGAGUGGAAUUCCAAGUGUAGAGGUGAAAUUCGGAUAUAGUUGGAGGUACACCAGGGGCGACGGCCACUCGCUGGCUUCUUGCUGACUCUGAGAUGCGAAAGCGUGGGGAGCAAACAGG
This 253-nucleotide ribosomal RNA is filed under the name uncultured bacterium. RNAcentral's name for it is "partial 16S ribosomal RNA". It matches the Rfam family "Bacterial small subunit ribosomal RNA", at positions 524 to 776 of the family's 1533-position model. The record is from RNAcentral.